UAUCCCCUGCGGUGUUCGUGCGGGCUGUACAUUCUUUGAACCAAUGUCAGCCCUUAGGUUGCGGCCCACAGUAGCGCUGGUGUGCGAGUCCCACUGCGGAAUUGCCUGAUGCGCUCGGAAAGCGACCACCCUUGAACCCCGGUUCAAGAUGCCAGCCUGGCGGCACUCGCGGGGGACCC
This is a non-coding RNA of 179 nucleotides. It matches the Rfam family "6S / SsrS RNA". From Rfam's summary of the family: E. coli 6S RNA was the first non coding RNA to be sequenced, but its function was unknown until recently. It consists of 184 nucleotides that fold into an extended hairpin structure with a large single-stranded internal bulge. The 6S RNA specifically associates with RNA polymerase holoenzyme containing the sigma70 specificity factor.